This 525-nucleotide long non-coding RNA is filed under the name Panax ginseng (ginseng). RNAcentral describes it as "long non-coding RNA (PGIN_LNC002661)". Lineage: Eukaryota; Viridiplantae; Streptophyta; Magnoliopsida; Apiales; Araliaceae. The record is from RNAcentral.
UAGAAGUCAAAUUUUGUGUUUGAACUCAAAAACGUUGGCUUUCAAUGGAGAUAAGUCAUAUUUGGCAUUAUAGAGUUACGGACUCAAAAAUGAUCGAAUUUCGACUUAGAACGGAGAAACGAGCAUUGAAUGUUCACGAACGUUUAUCGUUUUCGUUAAAAAUGAACCAAUAGGUGAAUUUUUAGCAAACGAAGUCAAAUAGAUUAAAUUCUUAUAUGAACACGUAGAGUAUAUAAUUUGUGAAUCGUAGGCUUUUGAAUGAGCUGAUUCGGACUUAUAACGAAGAAUUUAUGAGCUCGGGAAAUUCGCAAAGUGGAAAAUUGUCCAAACUAUCUGGUGCACAGAGCUGGCGCCGCGGCGCCAAUCCUAGGCCAAUUUGUUACGUUGCAGCGCCGUGAAUAGUUUCUAACCUACUGGAAAGUGGUGCCGCAGCGUGGAACAUUGAGUAAGGACUCGCGUCGUAGCGCCAAGUCCGGGACUUUGCUACUGUAAUCUCGCGCCGCAGCGCGGCUUAAGGAGAACAAG